UCAUAAAAUUGAGAAUGGAAAUGGGGAAUGUGCCAAAGAGACAACCCGACCAUAGAAAAAAACAACAGCAGAAGGUCACCAACAGGUCUUCAAUGUAGCGAGAAAUUCCCGCACCCGGAGGCGUCCUUCAGCUGGCCCCUAAACAAAUAUAUACUAGUUCAGUGAUAAUGAAAGCCAUACUAAUUUCCAAAUUGUACACAAGAAACUAAAAUUAAAAUAAUACAAGACUAACCAAAGGCCAGAGGCUCCUGACUUGGGACAGGCGCAAAAAUGCGGCGGGGUUAAAUAUGUUUGUGAGAUCUCAACCCUCCCCCUAUACCUCUAACC
This 327-nucleotide long non-coding RNA is filed under the name Mytilus galloprovincialis (Mediterranean mussel). Lineage: Eukaryota; Metazoa; Mollusca; Bivalvia; Mytilida; Mytilidae. The record is from RNAcentral.